RNAcentral lists this ribosomal RNA (496 nucleotides) under uncultured bacterium. RNAcentral's name for it is "partial 16S ribosomal RNA". It matches the Rfam family "Bacterial small subunit ribosomal RNA", at positions 28 to 507 of the family's 1533-position model. The record is from RNAcentral.
GAUGAACGCUGGCGGCGUGCUUAACACAUGCAAGUCGAGCGAACAGACGAGGUUCUUGCUCUUCUGGCGUUAGCGGCGGACGGGUGAGUCACACGUGGCUAACCUACCUAUAAGACUGGGAUAACUUCGAGAAACCGGAGCUAAUACCGGAUAACCUGUUGAACCGCAUGGUUCAACAGUGAAAGGCGGUCUUGCUGUCACUUAUAGAUGGAUCCGCGCCGCAUUAGCUAGUUGGUAGAUAACGGCUUACCAAGGCAACGAUGCGUAGCCGACCUGAGAGGGGGAUCGGCCACACUGGAACUGAGACGCGGUCCAGACUCCUACGGGAGGCAGAAGUAGGGAAUCGUCCGCGAUGGGCGAAAGCCUGACGGAGCAACGCCGCGUGAGUGAAGAAAGUCUGCGGAUCGUAAGACUGUGUUAGUAGUGAAGAACGAAUGUGUAAGUAACUAUGCACGUCUUGACGGUACCUAAUCAAAAAGCCACGGCUAACUACGUG